This is a long non-coding RNA of Protopterus annectens (West African lungfish), 514 nucleotides long. RefSeq lists it as uncharacterized. NCBI's taxonomy places the organism in Eukaryota, Metazoa, Chordata, Ceratodontiformes, Protopteridae. The transcript is spliced from 3 exons. The record is from RefSeq and is a predicted model, not a curated record.
AUGCUGAGUGCGCAUACUGCAGUACAAAAGGGAACAUUUCCCUGCAUAUAUUCCUCUUUCUUCCUUGAGUUUUCUCCAGUGUGUUUCACAGGGAAACUGUCAUUCUUAUCUGCAGUGAAAAAUGGGGAUAAACCUAAUUCUCUACUUUCUUCUUUCAUCCAGCAAUUCUGACAAUCCAAAUGAAUAAAUGAAAAUCACAGCCAACAGGAAAAUAACCUAGCAGAAGGAAACUGCAUGCAGCACAAAAUAAUUGCACUCCUUUUUUUGUCACAAAUCAUCCAUUGAAUUUCAAGGAGCUGUAUUUUUAGCGAGAAAGUGGUGAUGAUGCAGAAAAUGAGAACAAAAACGUCCCGAUAUCAAUAUUAAAUCCUUGGCCACAGGAAAAAGAUUUGGCAUCACCUGAGGUGAAGGUAUCAACACAUAGUUCUUUCUGUAUGGUCUGCAAGAUACGUGGACGAUUCCCAUCAGACUCGUAUACUGGAUUCCAUGAUGCACAAAGUAGUUGUCAUCUAAU